AUGUCAAGCUGGAAUAAAAACAUUCAAGAGCUUCUCAGUACGGAUAUUAUUCUACUGAUUUCAUUACUUCCCCAUGGUUUUAGCCUGUCACAAAUGGAGAAUCAUCAUCCAGCUACAUCUCCCUUAGAAUCAGGGAAAAGUUCCCCAUUUAAAGACCAAACAUGCAUAAUCUAUUUAGAGUUUCAGUUUGUUUUUUGUCUGACAUCUCUGUUGCCUCUGUUAUAUUACUACAUUGCUAUUAAAACAAGGAAGAAUGGCCUGAUGUUGCCUUUGAAUCUGAUUGUCGGGUACUGGUGGAGAUGUGGAACUCAAGAAAACAUAAUAGAUGGAGAUUAUCGGUUUCCUGUCAGAAAUUGA
RNAcentral lists this ribosomal RNA (357 nucleotides) under Triticum aestivum (bread wheat). Its description in RNAcentral is "partial small subunit ribosomal RNA". Lineage: Eukaryota; Viridiplantae; Streptophyta; Magnoliopsida; Poales; Poaceae. The record is from RNAcentral.